This 441-nucleotide ribosomal RNA is filed under the name uncultured Neocallimastigomycetes. RNAcentral describes it as "LSU rRNA". It matches the Rfam family "Eukaryotic large subunit ribosomal RNA", at positions 107 to 542 of the family's 3401-position model. Lineage: Eukaryota; Fungi; Neocallimastigomycota; Neocallimastigomycetes. The record is from RNAcentral.
GCUCAAAUUUGAAAUCUUCAAGGUUUUACCUUGACGAAUUGUAGUUUAAAGAAGUGUUUUCUGUUGGUGUUUUGGUAAAAGUUCUUUGGAAUAGGACAUCAUAGAGGGUGAGAACCCCGUAUUUGACCAUUACUUCCAGCGUUGUGAUACACUUUCAAAGGGUCGGAUUGUUUGGGAAUGCAGUCCAAAAUGGGUGGUAAAUUUCAUCUAAAGCUAAAUAUUGGCGAGAGACCGAUAGCGAACAAGUACCGUGAGGGAAAGAUGAAAAGAACUUUGAAAAGAGAGUUAAACAGUACGUGAAAUUGUCAAAAGGGAAGCGUUUGACACCAGUGUUGUUUUCUCGAAAAUCGAUUAAAAAAAGUUGGAUUUUGUAUUGUUAAGACCUUAUCAGCUUACUGUACUCUUUUCUUGCUUUUUUUAAUGCACUUUUCGUUUAACAAG